CCGCACAAGCGGUGGAUGAUGUGGUUUAAUUCGAUGCAACGCGAAAAACCUUACCCACCUUUGACAUGUACGGAAUUUGCCAGAGAUGGCUUAGUGCUCGAAAGAGAGCCGUAACACAGGUGCUGCAUGGCUGUCGUCAGCUCGUGUCGUGAGAUGUUGGGUUAAGUCCCGCAACGAGCGCAACCCUUGUCAUUAGUUGCUACGAAAGGGCACUCUAAUGAGACUGCCGGUGACAAACCGGAGGAAGGUGGGGAUGACGUCAAGUCCUCAUGGCCCUUAUAGGUAGGGCUUCACACGUCAUACAAUGGUACAUACAGAGGGCCGCCAACCCGCGAGGGGGAGCUAAUCCCAGAAAGUGUAUCGUAGUCCGGAUUGUAGUCUGCAACUCGACUACAUGAAGUUGGAAUCGCUAGUAAUCGCGGAUCAGCAUGUCGCGGUGAAUACGUUCCCGGGUCUUGUACACACCGCCCGUCACACCAUGGGAGCGGGUUUCACCAGAAGUAGGUAGCCUAACCGUAAGGAGGGCGCUUACCACGGUGGGAUUCGUGACUGGGGUGAAGUCGUAACAAGGUAGCCGUA
This 579-nucleotide ribosomal RNA is filed under the name uncultured bacterium. RNAcentral describes it as "bacterial SSU rRNA". It matches the Rfam family "Bacterial small subunit ribosomal RNA", at positions 921 to 1504 of the family's 1533-position model. The record is from RNAcentral.